GUAGGUGGCAAGCGUUGUCCGGAAUUAUUGGGCGUAAAGCGCGCGCAGGCGGUUUCUUAAGUCUGAUGUGAAAGCCCACGGCUCAACCGUGGAGGGUCAUUGGAAACUGGGAGACUUGAGUGCAGAAGAGGAGAGUGGAAUUCCACGUGUAGCGGUGAAAUGCGUAGAGAUGUGGAGGAACACCAGAGGCGAAGGCGACUCUCUGGUCUGUAACUGACGCUGAGGCGCGAAAGCGUGGGGAGCGAACAGGAUUAGAUACCCUGGUAGUCCACGCCGUAAACGAUGAGUGCUAAGUGUUAGAGGGUUUCCGCCCUUUAGUGCUGCAGCAAACGCAUUAAGCACUCCGCCUGGGGAGUACGGCCGCAAGGCUG
Molecule: ribosomal RNA, 371 nt
Filed under: uncultured bacterium
Lineage: Bacteria
Description: bacterial SSU rRNA
Rfam family: Bacterial small subunit ribosomal RNA
Source: RNAcentral